UAGCGGCGAGCGAACAGGGAAGAGCCCAGCACGGAAUCCCGCGCGGCAACGUGCAGGGAGCUGUCGUGUGAGGGAGGUUCCGUCGUCCCGGGACUCGGCAGCGAGUCCAAGUCUCCCUUGAACGGGGCCACAGUCCGCAGAGGGUGCCAGGCCCGUAGAGACCGCGGCCGAUCCCGGGUGGAGCUCUCCUCAGAGUCGUGUUCCUUGAGAGUGGAGCACUAAGUGGGUGGUAAACUCCAUCUAAGGCUAAAUACGACCACGAGACCGAUAGCGAACAAGUACCGUGAGGGAAAGUUGAAAAGAACUUUGAAGAGAGAGUUCAAUAGUACGUGAAACCGUUCAGGGGUAAACGGGAGAGACCCGAAAGAUCGAAGGGGGAGACUCAAUCCUGCCCGCGCGCCCGGAGCGCUUCCUUUUUCCGCGGAUGGUCCGGUCCGCCGUCCGUACCGCAAGGUUCGAGACGGUCCGCAUCCGGGCCACCGGGAGGUUCGUUCCGGCCGCGGCGGGAUGCACUUCUCCCCUUGUAGGACGUCGCGACCCGCUGGGUCUCGAGUUAAGACCGGCCUAAGGCACUAGGGGCGGAGCCCGAGGAGAUCGCCGCGGAAACGCGGGCCAACGGUCUCCCGGACCCCCGGUCGCCCGGCCGGCGCCCGGCGGUAAAGAUCGCGGAGCAGGCCCGCUACUGUGCGUCCGGCCCGAUGUACAAGCUCUACGGCGGAUCAGCUCGAGGUGCCGUGGCAUCAGUCACGUUCCCGGCCCCCGUAGGCUGCUGGUUCUCGGAGUCCUCGGACGGUAGCCCUCGUCUCCCGUCAGCGGCGCUCACGCUUCGGGUGCUCUCCCGACCCGUCUUGAAACACGGACCAAGGAGUCUAACAUGUGCGCGAGUCACUGGGAUGUGUCUAAACCCAGAGGCGAAGUGAAAGCGGGAGAGUCUCUGUGCUCUCUUGGGAGGAUGGCUGCCUCCAUUCCGGUGGGGGCGCCCGCACUCCCGGGGCGCCUCGGCCUUCUGGCUAAGGCGCACCCGGAGCGUACACGUUGGGACCCGAAAGAUGGUGAACUAUGCCUGGUCAGGACGAAGUCAGGGGAAACCCUGAUGGAGGUCCGCAGCGAUUCUGACGUGCAAAUCGAUCGUCAGAGCUGGGUAUAGGGGCGAAAGACUANNNNNNNNNNNNNNNNNNNNNNNNNNNNNNNNNNNNNNNNNNNNNNNNNNNNNNNNNNNNNNNNNNGGGACGAGUCUCAUCCGGUAAGCGAAUGAUUAGAGGCCUUGGGGCCGAAACGACCUCAACCUAUUCUCAAACUUUAAAUGGGUGAGAUCUCCGGCUUGCUUGAUUGAAGCCGCGAGGUCUGGAUCAGGGUGCCAAGUGGGCCAUUUUUGGUAAGCAGAACCGGCGCUGUGGGAUGAACCAAACGCCGGGUUAAGGCGCCUAAACCGGAGCUCACGGGAAACCAUGAAAGGCGUUGGUUGCUUAAGACAGCAGGACGGUGGCCAUGGAAGUCGGAAGCCGCUAAGGAGUGUGUAACAACUCACCUGCCGAAGCAACUAGCCCUGAAAAUGGAUGGCGCUAAAGCUCCGUGCCUAUACCCGGCCGCCGGUAGGUAUGGUGCGAGAAUUUUUUUUCUCGCAGCGAAACCCCGGUGAGUAGGAGGGCGCGGCGGUGAGCGCGGAAGGGUCUGGGCGCGAGCCUGCCUGGAGCCGCCGCCGGUGCAGAUCUUGGUGGUAGUAGCAAAUACUCAAGCGAGGGCCUUGAGGGCUGAUGUGGAGAAGGGUUUCGUGUGAACAGCCGUUGCACACGAGUCAGUCGAUCCUAAGCUCUAGGAGAAAUCCGAUGUUGAUCGGGGGAAUCAUAUUAUAUAUCUCCCCUAUCGAGCGAAAGGGAAUCCGGUUCCUAUUCCGGAACCCGGCAGCGGAACCGACUCAUCGGGCCCUCGAAAGAGAAGCUCGUCGGGGUAACCCAAAAGGACCCGGAGACGCCGUCGGGAGACCCGGGCAGAGUUUUCUGUUCUGCAUAAGCGUUCGAGUUCCCUGGAAUCCUCUAGCAGGGAGAUAGGGUUUGGAACGCGAAGAGCACCGCAGUUGCGGCGGUGUCCGGGUCGUCCCCUCGGACCUUGAAAAUCCGGGAGAGGGCUACGCGGAGGUGUCGCGCCGGCUCGUACCCAUAUCCGCAGCAGGUCUCCAAGGUGAAGAGCCUC
Molecule: ribosomal RNA, 2190 nt
Filed under: Scabina antipoda
Lineage: Eukaryota; Metazoa; Arthropoda; Insecta; Blattodea; Blattidae
Description: partial 28S ribosomal RNA
Rfam family: Eukaryotic large subunit ribosomal RNA
Source: RNAcentral